RNAcentral lists this long non-coding RNA (300 nucleotides) under Nicotiana benthamiana. RNAcentral describes it as "long non-coding RNA (NBEN_LNC008255)". The record is from RNAcentral. Lineage: Eukaryota; Viridiplantae; Streptophyta; Magnoliopsida; Solanales; Solanaceae.
UUUUCUCUUGAUUUCUUCAAUCAAAAACCUGAAAUCCACAUUCAAGGAAUGUCACUCCUUUGUUGGUAUAAACCUAAAGCAAGAUUUUAAACAUCAUGUGCUAAUCUGCAUUUUGCCAUCUGUUAAAGUGUAGCAUGUUAGUUUCGUGUCAGCUGUGGUUUUAAGGCAAUGGAGUUUCCAGCUCCUGCUAUGCCGCUCGUUGAUUUAGCCACUGAUUUGUCAAAAUAUUGAAUUCUUUUCGUUUGAGUGUGACUCCCUAAAUAUGAGCAGCUUCAUUAUGUUAGUUGUAUUUCUAUUCUU